CAGAGGGCGGUUGGGUCCUUAAGUUUGGUAUCCGCCAUGGUUUCUGUAAGUUUGGUUGGAGCAAGAUUUCAAGAUGGAUGACGGCGCGGGACUUUCGGCUACACAGGCCACAGAAUGGUGUCAGAGGGCAGUGGACGAAUGUAUGGGAUUUCAUGCGCCGAGUAGUCACCAGUGUGUUAUGAGAAGGACCGACAGUGUGCUGGGCACAUCGACACCAGCCACAAGUUGAUCAGAUCCUGUUCCUCCAAGUGCCACCCCACAACUCUGAAGUUCUUUCUUGAAGCUACAGAGAAAUAUGGCUUUCCAUCCAGGAUAGAGCACCUGUGGCAUGACAGACUGCUAGAUCCAACAAACUGUGCUUGUGGCUUCUCUGCAGUUUGUUUGCCAAAAAUCCAAGCUGGUCUGGAUGCAUUCACUGAGGGAUGGAACAACCCUUCACUCCAAACAGAAUGCAACUACACUAACCUUUGGGGACAUUGUCAACCCUCCUGAGAACAAUGAGGUGGACUCGUUUCCAGAUGUGUACAUGGAUUAUGCUGGAGUACAGUUUCUAGAACCAGUUUUACAAUUGCAGACCAAAAUCAGACAGCUUUUAAAGAUGACUAUUACAGUAAAUAUUCACCAUUCUACAGCAUCAGAUGACAUUGCCAAUUUCAGUGUGCUGCAGCAUGGAAUAUCCUGGCUCUUAACUGUCCACAGUAACGAAGGACAUGAAGCAGAGCCUGAUAGGUACUGAACUUUGUUUUGACCUAUGUCGAGUUCCUCACAUGUUCCACAGUUAUGAAGACUUCUCCAGUCAUGCAACUGCAUUGCAGUUCACCUGUUGCAUGCUGCUCACUUGGUUCUCCUUCAUAUCCUUUGUUAGACAGUUAAGUCAGACAUUUAUAUACUGCAGCACACUCUGAAACAGUAGUUGGAAGUGCAUGCACACAGCUUGUGAAAGAGGUGAGGUACACUGCCUUGAGAACUUCGGCACCUGGCUGAGCUGCGAUGGAGUGGCUGCAAAAGAUUUAAAAAUGUUUUUCUAAAAGCUUCACUGCAUUAAUAAUUAAUUAUAAACUUGUCUGUUUCAGUGUAUGUCUUCAAGAACCUGUUUUACAAUUCUAGAUGCACUGUGUAUGAACAAUCGUCAUUUCAUGGCCAGGGAAUCUUGUUGAAGAUUGCCUAAAGGGUUAAUGGCUAAGGCUUGUGACCAGCAGAGGGACAAAGUCAGCAGUGUUGCCUU
This is a long non-coding RNA of Monopterus albus (swamp eel), 1225 nucleotides long. RefSeq lists it as uncharacterized. NCBI's taxonomy places the organism in Eukaryota, Metazoa, Chordata, Actinopteri, Synbranchiformes, Synbranchidae. The record is from RefSeq and is a predicted model, not a curated record. The transcript is spliced from 5 exons.